UGAAUACGAGACGCUAAGGCGUCGAAGUAGUGUAUGUCAUACUUCCAAGAAAAGCUUGCACUGUCAUAGAUAAAAAACGCCUGUACCAUAACCGACACAGGUGGGUAGGUAGAGUAUACUAAGGGGCGCGAGAUAACUCUCUCUAAGGAACUCGGCAAAAUAACUCCGUAACUUCGGGAGAAGGAGUGCCUUAUUUAUAAGGCUGCAAUAACAAGAUCCAAGCAACUGUUUAUCAAAAACACAGGUCUCCGCUAAGUCGUAAGACGAUGUAUGGGGGCUGACGCCUGCCCAGUGCCAGAAGGUUAAAGAAGUUGGUUAGCUUUUGCGAAGCUGAUAACUGAAGCCCUGGUGAACGGCGGCCGUAACUAUAACGGUCCUAAGGUAGCGAAAUUCCUUGUCGGGUAAGUUCCGACCCGCACGAAAGGCGUAAUGAUUUGGAUACUGUCUCGGAGAGGGGCUCGGUGAAAUAGACUUGUCUGUGAAGAUGCGGACUACCUGCACCAGGACAGAAAGACCCUAUGAAGCUUUACUGUAACUUGAAAUUGAAAUUGGACUUUAUUCGCGCAGCAUAGGUGGGAGGCGUUGAUUAUAAUCUCGUGGGAUUAUUGGAGCCAUCAGUGAGAUACCACUCUUGUAAUGUUAGAUUUCUAACUUUGAAUCAUUAUCUGGUCAAAGAACAGUUUCAGGCAGGCAGUUUGACUGGGGCGGUCGCCUCCUAAACGGUAACGGAGGCGUACGAAGGUUUCCUCUGAACGGUUAGAAAUCGUAUCUAGAGUGUAAAGGCAUAAGGAAGCUUGACUGUGAGACCUACAAGUCGAGCAGGGACGAAAGUCGGUCUUAGUGAUCCGACGGUACUGAGUGGAAAGGCCGUCACUCAACGGAUAAAAGUUACUCUAAGGAUAACAGGCUGAUCUCCCCCAAGAGUUCACAUCGACGGGGAGGUUUGGCACCUCGAUGUCGGCUCAUCGCAUCCUGGGGCGGUAGUACGUCCCAAGGGUUGGGCUGUUCGCCCAUGAAAGCGGUACGCGAGCUGGGUUCAGAACGUCGUGAGACAGUUCGGUCCAUAUCCGGUGUAGGCGUUAGAAUAUUGGGAGGAGCCUUCUUUAGUACGAGAGGACCGAGAAGGACAUACCUCUGGUGUACCAGUUAUCGUGCCAACGGUAAACGCUGGGUAGCUAUGUAUGGAGUGGAUAACCGCUGAAAGCAUCUAAGUGGGAAGCCCACCUCAAGAUAU
Molecule: ribosomal RNA, 1234 nt
Filed under: metagenome
Description: bacterial LSU rRNA
Rfam family: Bacterial large subunit ribosomal RNA
Source: RNAcentral